UACAGAGGGUGCGAGCGUUAAUCGGAAUUACUGGGCGUAAAGCGCACGUAGUCGGCUUUGCAAGUCGGGUGUGAAAUCCCCGGGCUCAACCUGGGAACUGCAUCCGAGACUGCAUUGCUAGAGUAUGGGAGAGGGGAAGCGGAAUUUCUGGUGUAGCAGUGAAAUGCGUAGAUAUCAGAAGGAACAUCAGUGGCGAAGGCGGCUUCCUGGACCAAUACUGACGAUCAGGUGCGAAAGCGUGGGGAGCAAACAGG
Molecule: ribosomal RNA, 254 nt
Filed under: uncultured bacterium
Lineage: Bacteria
Description: partial 16S ribosomal RNA
Rfam family: Bacterial small subunit ribosomal RNA
Source: RNAcentral